ACCUAUCUAUAAAAAUAGAUAAUGGAAAUCAUUUCAAAAUUCUACGAAAAAAUGACGUCAUGUACAUGCAAUAGCCUGGAUCAUCACGUAAAUACUUUCUGAUAUACACAACGUUUAUCAACCGACACAGUAAUAAAGACUACGAUAGACACACCCUGCAUGGGAAUCAUUUAACUAGCGCGCACAGAUUAUUUCUUGUCACUAGUGUGGUCUUUGGCGUAGCAGUUAGAUACGAAAUGGCUUCGAACUCAAAGCCUGAAAUGAAAUGCCAAUGUAGCAAAUGUAUGGUACGGCCUUGUGGAGCUGAAUGUCUUCACUGUAUCACGUCGCUCUGUUGUCGCUCUGUUCAAGCAAUUGACAAGUAUAUGGCUGGCAAACCCAACGGGGCUUGUGUCAUCGAAGAAGAUUUCUUCAUCAAAGAAUGUUUGAAUCAGGAGAAAUUGAAAGAACUGUAUCCUAAAUAUGAAAGAGGAGGGCUGCGUGAUGGGGGGCAUGUUAACGAGAAACAUCGUUACACAGCAUGUCGACAUUUUGUUCGCGUAACCCAUGGUGAACUUCCAGUGGGUGAUCAGAGGGAACUUCCUGCAUGCGUUAUAAAGGCAAUUCACAACACAUUCCCUCUGCCGUACGUAAAAUAGAAGUACUAGCCUAUAAUAUUUAAUUGGCUUGUAGUGUAAAAAAAAAAUAAUAAAAAAAAAUAAAAAAAAUAAACUGCUAA
Molecule: long non-coding RNA, 718 nt
Organism: Patella vulgata (common limpet)
Lineage: Eukaryota; Metazoa; Mollusca; Gastropoda; Patellidae
Exons: 3
Source: RefSeq, a predicted model, not a curated record